CACACACUGGAAUAUUAUUCAACCUCGAGACAGGAGAAAAUAAUGCUGUCAUAUGUGAAACAUGGGUGGACCUUGAGGACAUUACGCUGAGACAGAGAAAGACCAACCCUGCAUGAUGUCCCUUAUAGGUGGAAUCUGAAACAAACAAACAAAACAAAAAGGACUAAAAAAACAAGGAGUGGGCUGGUGGUUUACCCAAGGCUGAUGGGUGGGGACAGGAGAGUGUGAAGGGCACAUACUUGCAACUAGUAGGUCAAUGAUUCCUGGAGGCACAGUACGCAGGACCGGGU
Myotis brandtii (Brandt's bat) is the source of this 290-nucleotide long non-coding RNA. RefSeq lists it as uncharacterized. The transcript is spliced from 3 exons. The record is from RefSeq and is a predicted model, not a curated record. Lineage: Eukaryota; Metazoa; Chordata; Mammalia; Chiroptera; Vespertilionidae.